This 16-nucleotide ribosomal RNA is filed under the name Aspergillus amstelodami. RNAcentral describes it as "partial 18S ribosomal RNA". Lineage: Eukaryota; Fungi; Ascomycota; Eurotiomycetes; Eurotiales; Aspergillaceae. The record is from RNAcentral.
GACUGCGGAGACAUUA